UUUGAAAACCGGUCCAGAUGCGGCAUGACGUAAUAUCGAGAAACGACGUUUAAAGUUGCGCCAAGUUUACGCGCGCAGCUUUCUUACACAUGUUUUAAUUAGCAAAAGUUUGACUGUUAAAGUACGACUGCUUGUUACAUGAUUGAUGACAGCCUACUACAGAAAGAAUAUUUAGACAUCAGACCUGUAAAAAAAAUAGUGGUAUUACGCCUGAGACAAAAUACUUCGUUCAAAAUCAGUUGUUUCCCCUUCGCUACUGUAUGUUUCCGGUUUCGGAUUUUAUCAGGGAAGCAUGUGAAGUUUACUUUUGUUUAACUACCUUUUGUUCAACGAUGAAGGGAUCUGAGAUUUGUAAUACUGUUUACUGAUUUGAUAAUAUUCCUUGUUCCUUUGAUGGUUCAUUCCACUACAGCUGGUUCAUAUACCCUACAACAGCCAGGAAAUUGGUCUGUUUACUUUAAGAUCUGAAGAAAAUGUAACAUAUUUUGGAUGUGCUUUGAGGAAUCAGGAAGGCAAGUGUUUCCUCUUGUUUAUGAAAGAAACUCAGUUGGUUAAGGGGCAGACAACUUGUGAGCAUGGUACAUCACUACCUGUAUUGGUAUUCCAUUUUGACAAUGCUGCUAGCUAGAAUAGAAAUAACAUCUUGCUGUGGUAUGGUCUGUGGAGAGUUUUACUAGGAUAUCACAGAUCGAUUGAAUAUUCAACAAUGAUCACAGACCAUGCAAAGUUUGAAUCUGACUUGCACUUUUGAAUUUAGAAGAAUCUGUGGAGGAGGGUGAAUGCUGAGACCUUUAAUAAUACAUGAUAUUGCUGACACAGUGUGUCAGUCAUCAAAGAAAGGUCAUAACAUUGCACAGUUGGUCAACAAUGAUUUAAAACCUGUCACAUUCUACCCGUGGAGAAAUAUCUUAUCACAAUAUUUUAAACUUUUUGAAGAAGAUAACUAAGUAUUACCACUUUACCAUGUCUGCAGAAACACCUGGAUUGUUAGUGUUAGAAGUGACAGUCCAGUUGAGACAGUAACUUACUAAAAUAUACUCCCCCUUGCCAAACGAAUAUUACUGACAUGGAAUGACCCAAGCCUGACAAUGGUACCUGUAUGAACUCGUAAGAGAAUAGUAUUUGUCUGAAAAGUCAAAGGAUUCUGUUUGUCCCAGACCCCUUGAACUGAAAACUGAAAUUGUGAUUGACGAGGAUUUUUCUGAGAACUGAAAAAAGGAAGUGAAUAUAAAAGAUAGAAAUUGUUGUUGAAUUCAAACGUUUUAAUACACAACACUUUAGCCUGUUUUGCUGUUCAUAUAGAUGUGUUUAGCUGUUAAGGUUAAACAUCGAGUAAAGGUUGUAGUUUCAGUUACCUACAUUAAAGUAUUGGCUGGAAAAAAAUAUUUACUUUUCACCAGAGCUUGUAGCAGUGUAACCUUCAUCAAAAGUUAAGCUAUUGUGUUAAUUAUUAAAGUAUUUUUAGAAAAAAGGAAUUUAGUAUGUAUGUUGCCAUGGUAACAUAAUGCAAAUUAUAUUUCAUUGAAAUUAUGGAUUUGUAUUUCAAUAAGGGAUCUACAGUAUAUAAUGUAAUGGUAAAAGAAUGUUCACUUUCUUCAGUAUUGUCAGUUAUAACUAGCCAGUGAAAAAAACAGAUUAUGAGGAAAGGGAUGACUGAAAUGUUUAUUCUUACGAUAACUACUUUUGUUACUUUUUUUGUUUUGUUAUUUUAAAGUUUUAUGUGAAAUUUUCAGAUUUCUUUCCUGAAUACUUAUACUUUAAAAUAUUUAACUUAUUAGAAAUACUUUUUUAAAAUAAGCUCUUGUUUUUAGGUAUUAUAGUAGGAAAAGGGAAUUUAAAACAUAUGUCGCCAUGGUAACACAAUUUUCUUAGAAAAUAUGGAAAAAUUUUAAUUAGCUGUACUUUCUAGUAUUCUACUUUAAAAUAAGCAUAAACAAUAAAAAAAAUCAAUAGUAAUAUAUGUUUCAUUUAUUUCAAAAUAGUCAUUUAUUACCAGCAGGUAAAAGGCAAGUUAUGAAGAAACAAUGACAGAAAUGUCUUAUUCUUAUAGUUAUUACUCAUGUUACAAACGCUGUCAUAAAACAAAACAUUUUAAUUUUUUUAACAUGGAAUUUUGAGACAAUAUUUUUGAAUACACACCACUUGAUAAUAUUCAAGUUAUCUGAAACACUUUUCCAAAUUUAGCUCUUUUUUAAAGUAUUAUUAUAGAAAAUAGAAUCGAAUGCAUAUGUUGCCAUGGUAACAUAAUUUAAUAAUGUUUUUAUAGAAAAUGUGAAGGACUUUAGCCAGCUAGAUGUUUGCACUUUAAGUGAAUAUCUAAAUAUUCUUUGUAAAAGAAUAUUCAUUUAUUUAAAAAUAGCCAGUGAUUACCAAUAAGUGAAAACACAAACUGAAGAAACAACGACUGAAAUAGUUUAUUCUUGUGGUUUUUACCCGUGUUACGAAAUCUGUCAUAAAACCAAACAUUUUAUCUUUUCCCAUAAAAUUUUCAAAUUUUACUUUCGAAUACAUAUACUUCGGAAUAUUCAACUUAUAAGAAACAUUAUUUCAAAUUAAGCUUCUAUUUUUAAGUUCUAUUGUAGAAAAAGGAAUUUAAUGCAUAUGUUGCCAUGGUAACACAAUUUGAAUAAUGUUUUCAUAGAAAAUAUGAAAGAUUUUAAUUAGCUGUAUUUUUGUGUUUUAAGUAAGCAUCACAAGAAUAAAAUUUCAUAGUAAAAGAAGGUUCAUUUUCCCCAAAAUAGUCAUUUAUUACCAGUAUCUAAAAGACAAGUUAUGAAGAAACAAUGACAAAUCUAACUUAUUCUUAUGGUUAUUACCCAUGUUACAAAAACUUGUCAUAAAACCAAACAUUCUUAAUAUUCUCAUGUGAAAUUUUCAGAAUAUUUUUAUAAAUACAUAGGCCUUCUAAUAUUUUACUUUUUGAAGUCCUUACUUUAAGUGAACAAGUUUUUUUUAAGUUUUAUCACAGAAAAGGGAAUUUAAUAUAUUUGUUGCCAUGGUAACACAAUUUGAGAAAUAUUUUUAUAGAAAUUGUUGUAGAUUUUAGUUGAUUAUCAUUUUGUGUAAUAAGAAGGGAUCUAAUAUAUAUCAUGCAAUUGUAACAGAAGAUAAAUUUAUUUCAGAAUUGUUAGCCAUUACCUGUAAGUGAGAAAUAAACUAGAAAGAAAGAAUAA
Mercenaria mercenaria is the source of this 3173-nucleotide long non-coding RNA. RefSeq lists it as uncharacterized. NCBI's taxonomy places the organism in Eukaryota, Metazoa, Mollusca, Bivalvia, Venerida, Veneridae. The transcript is spliced from 4 exons. The record is from RefSeq and is a predicted model, not a curated record.